CAGGGGGCACCCGAACCGGGCUUUUCAGA
Molecule: non-coding RNA, 29 nt
Filed under: Homo sapiens (human)
Lineage: Eukaryota; Metazoa; Chordata; Mammalia; Primates; Hominidae
Source: RNAcentral